Molecule: ribosomal RNA, 332 nt
Filed under: uncultured bacterium
Lineage: Bacteria
Description: bacterial SSU rRNA
Rfam family: Bacterial small subunit ribosomal RNA
Source: RNAcentral
UGCGCAGGUGGCCAAGUGUGUGAGGCGUGAAAGCCUGGAGCUUAACUCCAGAAUUGCACCUCAAACUACAUGGCUAGAGCAUUGGAGAGGGUAGCAGAAUUCAUGGUGUAGCAGUGAAAUGCGUAGAUAUCAUGAGGAACACCAGAGGCGAAGGCGGCUACCUGGACAAUUGCUGACACUCAGGCACGAAAGCGUGGGGAGCAAAAGGGAUUAGAUACCCCUGUAGUCCACGCCCUAAACGGUGCACACUAGGUCUUGGCGGAUUCGACCCCACCAGGGCCCAAGCUAACGCGUUAAGUGUGCCGCCUGAGGACUACGGCCGCAAGGCUAAA